CGUAAGAAUUUGAAAAUUGCAAGAGUGUCGGAUCUCAAAUCUCUCCCCGGCCCCAUAACGCUAUGUGAGACUCUCCGAUCCACCAACCAAUAGUUUUUGUUGAAAUGCCCAUCGACUGAUACAAACAGGGAGGCUAAGUUGUGGUUGUGCCCCUAGCAAGUAGUCCUACCCAUCCACCAGUACAAACAGGGAGGCUAAGUUUUGGUUCAAUGUAAGAAGCCCUUAAAUUCAGAAUUCCGAAAAGAUUAGAUUAAUUUCAAAAAAUCCCCUUUUAUAUUUAUCUGCAGUUCAUAUUGGAUUAAGUAUGCUUUUCAUAUUAAUUGUUCAUCUUCUUAAGGGAAUAACCAACAACAAUGCUGUAGCUUUUUUGGCAGUGCCGAUUUUGAUGUUGAAAUGGCUGUGUGGUGGCAUGGAUUUGAUGCCAAGAACCCUUCGAUUAAAAACUCUUUUUAUGGUUAGGUCUGCUUUUUGAUUGGCCCGUCGGGAUAUUGUAGAAGCAUAAAAAGAGAAGGUUGCCAAAUAUCUACCACCUCUUGGAACUCCUUAUCAUCAAAGCUAUUCCAAUUCUUGGUAAAUGUGGUUCUCCUCAAUGAAGAAUUGAUUAAAUGUAUUCUUGAGAGCAGAUAGUUUUGGAUUGAAGCUCAUAUGAAUUUUUUUAGAGAAGUUGAGUUUGUUUGUUGGGUAUGGUGUAAAAUGUGUUUCAUUCGUACAUAAAGGCGCAGGCGAUUGAAGUCUACUCAAGUGUUCCCACAUUGAUGGAUCUCAACAUUUGUGCUUGAAGUGAGAAUGCACUGUGAACGGCUUUUCAGAAUAGUCGAGCGCUAAGCUAGAUAUACGUAGGUCAGAUAGAUACACUGAAUGAACCUUAUUUGGUUAAGACUUCUCGGAAGAACUUGCUUCGUUGGCGGGAGUGGUCAAUAGUAGAUAACGAUAAUUCAUU
Rhododendron vialii is the source of this 940-nucleotide long non-coding RNA. RefSeq lists it as uncharacterized. The record is from RefSeq and is a predicted model, not a curated record. Lineage: Eukaryota; Viridiplantae; Streptophyta; Magnoliopsida; Ericales; Ericaceae. The transcript has 4 exons.